GUGAAGCCGGAGGUUGCUAAGUGGAAGUGCAGGUGCUGCUGCUUCUUGCACAAACUGCAGUUGUAAUCCAGGAUUCACGGGCCUGUAGGGGCUCAGACUUCAAAUUGAACCGCGCCUCGGCGGCAGCCACAGGUGUAAUACACGAGGCCCAGGUACCAGAAGGUGUCCAGCAGGGCCUUGGCGGCGCCCUAGCAGCUGAGGUCCAGCCGCUGCGCGCCCAGGUUCAUCUCAUUAGUGGACGCCGCGGGCCCGCGAGUUCGGAGCAGCGCGUGUAUCUGUGGGUCUUUGGGGCUGGCCUCGCUAGCCUACCAGCUUCCUUUCGGUGAUGCUCUUUGCUACCGCCAGGCUCCUGACCCCAGCUUGGACAGCAGGCCGCCGAGCGCCCCUGACGCCCGUUACCGAGAUGGCUGCGCAGAAGGGUAACCCAGAAUGACAUCUAUGCCUUUCAUCUGUAAAAUAACAACAACAGUGGGCUCUGGGAACACAGACUAAGACUCCUUAACCACAGCCAUAGGAGUGGCUGUGGGGCUGUGAUCUCUCCUAGAACCUCAGAGGCAUGAAGCUAGAAUAUCUUCCCCUUCAAGGAGAAUAAGCCAAGCUUCAGGAACAGUUCUUUCUCUGGUUUCUAUGGUGGCCCUAACUCAGAGUCAUCGCAUCUCCUAAGGAGGUUCUGUGACUGGAAAUACCAACCCCUGGAACUGGUGGGUGAACCCUUGAAGCAUCGAUAGGGAUGGAGGGUAUAUUCUGGGAGGGGAUUCUGAGGAUGGGAGUAUCUUUGGAUAUAUUAACAUUUAAAUUUAUUUUUAUUUAAUAAUAUUGUUCAGUACCCAGAGGAUUCAUUUUUGGAGUUAAUUUAAUUUUAAAAAUAUUAAGUACAGGCCAUGUGUAGAUGAGACAAAAACCGUAGGGAAGACAUGAGUUACUAAAGUGAUAGAAAUGAUGCUUAACAUAUUUUGUAUUGAGAACUGAGCUAGUCACUGUGAGGACAGACACAGAAAAUUGAGUCCAAUUUCUAGUCCUCAAAUCCCUCACUUGCCUAACAGAAUUUAUAUAGCACUUGAUGCACUAAAAUCACAAACAAGACACAUACAGCACAUACAGAAAAAUCAUCUACUAAUUCCAGAUUGGAUGGGAUCUUUUUCCAA
RNAcentral lists this long non-coding RNA (1145 nucleotides) under Homo sapiens (human). Its description in RNAcentral is "non-protein coding LINC01284:9". The record is from RNAcentral. Lineage: Eukaryota; Metazoa; Chordata; Mammalia; Primates; Hominidae.